Molecule: transfer RNA, 87 nt
Filed under: Candidatus Sungbacteria bacterium RIFCSPHIGHO2_01_FULL_54_26
Lineage: Bacteria; Candidatus Sungiibacteriota
Also listed under: 2 other names
Description: tRNA-Ser
Rfam family: tRNA
About the family: Transfer RNA (tRNA) molecules are approximately 80 nucleotides in length.
Source: RNAcentral
GGAGGCGUGGCAGAGCGGUUUAACGCGCCGCACUCGAAAUGCGGUAUGCCCUUACGGGCAUCGGAGGUUCGAAUCCUCCCGCCUCCG